GAUGAAGAACGCAGCGAAAUGCGAUAAUUAAUGUGAAUUGCAGAAUUCCGUGAAUCAUCGAGUCUUUGAACGCACAUUGCGCCUCAUGGCAUUCCGUGAGGCAUGCCCAUCUCAGCGUUAGAAAAUAUUCUCAAAUUUUAGUUUUGUGCUAAAAUUUGGAUCAUGUCAAGGAAGCUAUUACUAUUAUUGUGAUCGCUCUUGGAAAUUGAUAGGUCUUUGAGUUGCUACUCAUAGAACGUGAUGAAUCUUUCUUCGUUCUAUUGUAAUUCACUCUGGUAGUCCUAAAACUUGUAUGCCUGUGGCAUAUCUUGUAAUUUGACCUGAGAUUGGGUAGGGAUACCCGCUGAACUUAAGCAUAUCAAUAAGCGGAGGA
RNAcentral lists this unclassified non-coding RNA (373 nucleotides) under soil metagenome. RNAcentral describes it as "partial contains internal transcribed spacer 2 and large subunit ribosomal RNA". The stretch from base 1 to 120 matches the Rfam family "5.8S ribosomal RNA", at positions 35 to 154 of the family's 154-position model. The record is from RNAcentral.